This 664-nucleotide ribosomal RNA is filed under the name uncultured bacterium. RNAcentral describes it as "bacterial SSU rRNA". It matches the Rfam family "Bacterial small subunit ribosomal RNA", at positions 186 to 851 of the family's 1533-position model. The record is from RNAcentral.
CCGCAUGGGGAUAUUUGCUAAAGAUUCAUCGCUGAUAGAUAGGCAUGCGUUCCAUUAGGCAGUUGGCGGGGUAACGGCCCACCAAACCGACGAUGGAUAGGGGUUCUGAGAGGAAGGUCCCCCACAUUGGUACUGAGACACGGACCAAACUCCUACGGGAGGCAGCAGUGAGGAAUAUUGGUCAAUGGGCGUAAGCCUGAACCAGCCAAGUCGCGUGAGGGAUGAAGGUUCUAUGGAUCGUAAACCUCUUUUAUAAGGGAAUAAAGUGUGGGACGUGUCCUGUUUUGUAUGUACCUUAUGAAUAAGGAUCGGCUAACUCCGUGCCAGCAGCCGCGGUAAUACGGAGGAUCCGAGCGUUAUCCGGAUUUAUUGGGUUUAAAGGGUGCGUAGGCGGCCUUUUAAGUCAGCGGUGAAAGUCUGUGGCUCAACCAUAGAAUUGCCGUUGAAACUGGGAGGCUUGAGUAUGUUUGAGGCAGGCGGAAUGCGUGGUGUAGCGGUGAAAUGCUUAGAUAUCACGCAGAACCCCGAUUGCGAAGGCAGCCUGCCAAGCCAUGACUGACGCUGAUGCACGAAAGCGUGGGGAUCAAACAGGAUUAGAUACCCUGGUAGUCCACGCAGUAAACGAUGAUCACUAGCUGUUUGCGAUACAGUGUAAGCGGCACAG